AUACGUAGGUGGCGAGCGUUAUCCGGAUUUACUGGGUGUAAAGGGCGUGUAGGCGGGUCUGCAAGUCGGAUGUGAAAUUCCCGGGCUUAACUCGGGCGGGUCAUCCGAAACUGCGGAUCUUGAGUACUGGAGAGGAUAGUGGAAUUCCUAGUGUAGCGGUAAAAUGCGUAGAUAUUCGGAGGAACACCAGUGGCGAAGGCGGCCUACUGGGCUCUAACUGACGCUGAGGCUCGAAAGUGUGGGGAGC
RNAcentral lists this ribosomal RNA (247 nucleotides) under uncultured bacterium. RNAcentral describes it as "partial 16S ribosomal RNA". It matches the Rfam family "Bacterial small subunit ribosomal RNA", at positions 523 to 769 of the family's 1533-position model. The record is from RNAcentral.